UACGGAGGGGGCUAGCGUUGUUCGGAAUUGCUGGGCGUAAAGCGCGCGUAGGCGGACCUGCAAGUCGGGGGUGAAAGCCCGAGGCUCAACCUCGGAACUGCCUUCGAUACUGCGGGUCUCGAGUCCGGGAGAGGUGAGUGGAAUUCCUAGUGUAGAGGUGAAAUUCGUAGAUAUUAGGAAGAACACCAGUGGCGAAGGCGGCUCACUGGCCCGGUACUGACGCUGAGGCGCGAAAGCGUGGGGAGCAAACAGG
RNAcentral lists this ribosomal RNA (253 nucleotides) under uncultured bacterium. Its description in RNAcentral is "partial 16S ribosomal RNA". It matches the Rfam family "Bacterial small subunit ribosomal RNA", at positions 524 to 776 of the family's 1533-position model. The record is from RNAcentral.